RNAcentral lists this ribosomal RNA (253 nucleotides) under uncultured bacterium. RNAcentral describes it as "partial 16S ribosomal RNA". It matches the Rfam family "Bacterial small subunit ribosomal RNA", at positions 524 to 776 of the family's 1533-position model. The record is from RNAcentral.
GACAGAGGGUGCAAACGUUGUUCGGAAUUACUGGGCGUAAAGCGUGUGUAGGCGGCGCGGUAAGUCAGGGGUGAAAUCCCGGAGCUCAACUCCGGAACUGCCCUUGAAACUGCAGUGCUAGAAUCCUGGAGAGGCGAGUGGAAUUCCGAGUGUAGAGGUGAAAUUCGUAGAUAUUCGGAAGAACACCAGUGGCGAAGGCGACUCGCUGGACAGGUAUUGACGCUGAGGUGCGAAAGCGUGGGGAGCAAACAGG